RNAcentral lists this microRNA (22 nucleotides) under Arabidopsis lyrata. RNAcentral's name for it is "aly-miR4237". The record is from miRBase by way of RNAcentral. Lineage: Eukaryota; Viridiplantae; Streptophyta; Magnoliopsida; Brassicales; Brassicaceae.
AAACGUAAACAUAUAUAAUCGA